Molecule: ribosomal RNA, 1385 nt
Filed under: uncultured Synechococcus sp.
Lineage: Bacteria; Bacillati; Cyanobacteriota; Cyanophyceae; Synechococcales; Synechococcaceae
Description: bacterial SSU rRNA
Rfam family: Bacterial small subunit ribosomal RNA
Source: RNAcentral
UGGCGGACGGGUGAGUAACGCGUGAGAAUCUGCCCUCAGGAGGGGGAUAACGGCUGGAAACGGCCGCUAAUACCCCAUAUGCCGAGAGGUGAAAUGAAUUUCGCCUGAGGAUGAGCUCGCGUCUGAUUAGCUAGUUGGUGAGGUAAUGGCUCACCAAGGCUUCGAUCAGUAGCUGGUCUGAGAGGAUGAUCAGCCACACUGGGACUGAGACACGGCCCAGACUCCUACGGGAGGCAGCAGUGGGGAAUUUUCCGCAAUGGGCGAAAGCCUGACGGAGCAACGCCGCGUGAGGGAUGAAGGCCUCUGGGCUGUAAACCUCUUUUAUCAAGGAAGAAGAUCUGACGGUACUUGAUGAAUAAGCCACGGCUAAUUCCGUGCCAGCAGCCGCGGUAAUACGGGAGUGGCAAGCGUUAUCCGGAAUUAUUGGGCGUAAAGCGUCCGCAGGCGGUUUUGAAAGUCUGUUGUUAAAGCGUGGAGCUUAACUCCAUUUCAGCAAUGGAAACUACAAGACUAGAGUGUGGUAGGGGCAGAGGGAAUUCCCGGUGUAGCGGUGAAAUGCGUAGAUAUCGGGAAGAACACCAGUGGCGAAGGCGCUCUGCUGGGCCAUAACUGACGCUCAUGGACGAAAGCCAGGGGAGCGAAAGGGAUUAGAUACCCCUGUAGUCCUGGCCGUAAACGAUGAACACUAGGUGUCGGGGGAAUCGACCCCCUCGGUGUCGUAGCCAACGCGUUAAGUGUUCCGCCUGGGGAGUACGCACGCAAGUGUGAAACUCAAAGGAAUUGACGGGGGCCCGCACAAGCGGUGGAGUAUGUGGUUUAAUUCGAUGCAACGCGAAGAACCUUACCAGGGUUUGACAUCCUGCGAAUCCCUUGGAAACUUGGGAGUGCCUUCGGGAGCGCAGUGACAGGUGGUGCAUGGCUGUCGUCAGCUCGUGUCGUGAGAUGUUGGGUUAAGUCCCGCAACGAGCGCAACCCACGUCUUUAGUUGCCAGCAUUUAGUUGGGCACUCUAGAGAGACUGCCGGUGAUAAACCGGAGGAAGGUGUGGAUGACGUCAAGUCAUCAUGCCCCUUACAUCCUGGGCUACACACGUACUACAAUGCUACGGACAAAGGGCAGCAAACUCGCGAGAGCUAGCAAAUCCCAUAAACCGUGGCUCAGUUCAGAUCGUAGGCUGCAACUCGCCUACGUGAAGGAGGAAUCGCUAGUAAUCGCAGGUCAGCAUACUGCGGUGAAUACGUUCCCGGGCCUUGUACACACCGCCCGUCACACCAUGGAAGUUGGCCACGCCCGAAGUCGUUACUCCAACCCUUGUGGAGGAGGAUGCCGAAGGUGGGGCUGAUGACUGGGGUGAAGUCGUAACAAGGUAGCCGUACCGGAAGGUGC